GACGAACGCUGGCGGCGUGCCUAACACAUGCAAGUCGAGCGGGGACAUGGAGGAGCUUGCUCCGAGAUGUUCUAGCGGCGGACGGGUAAGUAACGCGUGAGCAAUCUGUCCCAGACAGGGGGAUAACAGAUGGAAACAUUUGCUAAUACCGCAUGAGACCACAAUGUCGCAUGGCAAAGGGGUCAAAGGAGCAAUCCGGUCUGGGGUGAGCUCGCGUCUGAUUAGCUAGUUGGUGAGGUAACGGCCCACCAAGGCGACGAUCAGUAGCCGACCUGAGAGGGUGAUCGGCCACAUUGGAACUGAGACACGGUCCAA
This 315-nucleotide ribosomal RNA is filed under the name uncultured bacterium. RNAcentral describes it as "bacterial SSU rRNA". It matches the Rfam family "Bacterial small subunit ribosomal RNA", at positions 28 to 334 of the family's 1533-position model. The record is from RNAcentral.